GGAACAAAUGGGUAGUGUUAGCAC
Molecule: microRNA, 24 nt
Filed under: Ananas comosus (pineapple)
Lineage: Eukaryota; Viridiplantae; Streptophyta; Magnoliopsida; Poales; Bromeliaceae
Description: microRNA s1562_c090b
Source: RNAcentral